UGGGGAAUUUUGGACAAUGGGGGAAACCCUGAUCCAGCCAUCCCGCGUGUGCGAUGAAGGCCUUCGGGUUGUAAAGCACUUUUGGCAGGAAAGAAACGUCAUGGGUUAAUACCCCGUGAAACUGACGGUACCUGCAGAAUAAGCACCGGCUAACUACGUGCCAGCAGCCGCGGUAAUACGUAGGGUGCAAGCGUUAAUCGGAAUUACUGGGCGUAAAGCGUGCGCAGGCGGUUCGGAAAGAAAGAUGUGAAAUCCCAGAGCUCAACUUUGGAACUGCAUUUUUAACUACCGGGCUAGAGUGUGUCAGAGGGAGGUGGAAUUCCGCGUGUAGCAGUGAAAGGCGUAGAUAUGCGGAGGAACACCGAUGGCGAAGGCAGCCUCCUGGGAUAACACUGACGCUCAUGCACGAAAGCGUGGGGAGCAAACAGG
Molecule: ribosomal RNA, 429 nt
Filed under: Acidobacteriota bacterium
Lineage: Bacteria; Pseudomonadati; Acidobacteriota
Description: Acidobacteria bacterium partial 16S ribosomal RNA
Rfam family: Bacterial small subunit ribosomal RNA
Source: RNAcentral